GAUGAACGCUGGCGGCGUGCCUAAUACAUGCAAGUCGAGCGAACGGACGAGAAGCUUGCUUUUCUGAUGUUAGCGGCGGACGGGUGAGUAACACGUGGAUAACCUACCUAUAAGACUGGGAUAACUUCGGGAAACCGGAGCUAAUACCGGAUAAUAUUUUGAACCGCAUGGUUCAAAAGUGAAAGACGGUCUUGCUGUCACUUAUAGAUGGAUCCGCGCUGCAUUAGCUAGUUGGUAAGGUAACGGCUUACCAAGGCAACGAUGCAUAGCCGACCUGAGAGGGUGAUCGGCCACACUGGAACUGAGACACGGUCCAGACUCCUACGGGAGGCAGCAGUAGGGAAUCUUCCGCAAUGGGCGAAAGCCUGACGGAGCAACGCCGCGUGAGUGAUGAAGGUCUUCGGAUCGUAAAACUCUGUUAUUAGGGAAGAACAUAUGUGUAAGUAACUGUGCACAUCUUGACGGUACCUAAUCAGAAAGCCACGGCUAACUACGUGCCAGCAGCCGCGGUAAUACGUAGGUGGCAAGCGUUAUCCCGGAUUAUUGGGCGUAAAGCGCGCGUAGGCGGUUUUUUAAGUCUGAUGUGAAAGCCCACGGCUCAACCGUGGAGGGUCAUUGGAAACUGGAAAACUUGAGUGCAGAAGAGGAAAGUGGAAUUCCAUGUGUAGCGGUGAAAUGCGCAGAGAUGUGGAGGAACACCAGUGGCGAAGGCGACUUUCUGGUCUGUAACUGACGCUGAUGUGCGAAAGCGUGGGGAUCAAACAGGAUUAGAUACCCUGGUAGUCCACGCCGUAAACGAUGAGUGCUAAGUGUUAGGGGGUUUCCGCCCCUUAGUGCUGCAGCUAACGCAUUAAGCACUCCGCCUGGGGAGUACGACCGCAAGGUUGAAACUCAAAGGAAUUGACGGGGGCCCGCACAAGCGGUGGAGCAUGUGGUUUAAUUCGAAGCAACGCGAAGAACCUUACCAAAUCUUGACAUCCUUUGACAACUCUAGAGAUAGAGCCUUCCCCUUCGGGGGACAAAGUGACAGGUGGUGCAUGGUUGUCGUCAGCUCGUGUCGUGAGAUGUUGGGUUAAGUCCCGCAACGAGCGCAACCCUUAAGCUUAGUUGCCAUCAUUAAGUUGGGCACUCUAAGUUGACUGCCGGUGACAAACCGGAGGAAGGUGGGGAUGACGUCAAAUCAUCAUGCCCCUUAUGAUUUGGGCUACACACGUGCUACAAUGGACAAUACAAAGGGCAGCGAAACCGCGAGGUCAAGCAAAUCCCAUAAAGUUGUUCUCAGUUCGGAUUGUAGUCUGCAACUCGACUACAUGAAGCUGGAAUCGCUAGUAAUCGUAGAUCAGCAUGCUACGGUGAAUACGUUCCCGGGUCU
Molecule: ribosomal RNA, 1372 nt
Filed under: uncultured bacterium
Lineage: Bacteria
Description: bacterial SSU rRNA
Rfam family: Bacterial small subunit ribosomal RNA
Source: RNAcentral